Molecule: small nuclear RNA, 101 nt
Filed under: Penicillium nalgiovense
Lineage: Eukaryota; Fungi; Ascomycota; Eurotiomycetes; Eurotiales; Aspergillaceae
Source: RNAcentral
GCCCUUCGGGGCAUAGUGUGAUAUGAAAAUAUACAGAGAAGAUUAGCAUGGCCCCUGCACUAGGAUGACAUGACUCAAUCAAAGAGAAGUACCUUUUUUUC